ACUUUAAUAGCUUAUACAAAUCGAGCAUGGCACUGAAGAUGCUAAGGAGGCAGCAUGUCUUAAAGUA
Molecule: transfer RNA, 67 nt
Filed under: Koreoleptoxis globus ovalis
Lineage: Eukaryota; Metazoa; Mollusca; Gastropoda; Pleuroceridae
Description: tRNA-Phe
Source: RNAcentral